This 528-nucleotide ribosomal RNA is filed under the name Triticum aestivum (bread wheat). RNAcentral's name for it is "partial small subunit ribosomal RNA". The record is from RNAcentral. Lineage: Eukaryota; Viridiplantae; Streptophyta; Magnoliopsida; Poales; Poaceae.
AUGCAAGAGGUACCACGGAGAGCUAUACGGAGUGCAACUUGGGUACCGCCAAAUCAGGGUUGUGUUAAGAUCAAUGUCGACGGUGCAGUGGCCGUGAGGAGGAGACAUGGUGCAGUGGGUGCGGUCUGCAGAGACCAACAGGGCACUUUUCUGGAGGCCUCGGCGAUCGUUUUCAAGCACAUCACAGAUCCUCAAACGCUCAAGGCUCUAGCUAUAAGAGAAGCACUCUCCUUAGUGGAUGAUCUAUAUGCACGACAUAUACAAGUUGCCUCUGACUGCAAGGUGGUUGUUGAUGAUCUGCAUCAUGGCAAGCUAGCCACUUAUGGAGCAGUUCUUCGUGAGAUAUCGGACCGUUCUUCUAGUUUUUUGUCAUAUAAUAUAGGUCAUGAAUUUAGGAGCUCAAACUAUGAAGCUCACAAUCUAGCGAAACAUUCUCUCUCGCUCGCGGUUGGCCGCCAUGUUUGUAGGCCAGCCGGGAGAUCUUCAUUUUGUCCCUGUAAACACUGUGUUGGUUGGUGUGGGUUGUAA